GUCGCGGCCAAUACAGCCUCUGAUAAAGUGAGCAACGGACUGAAGAGAAUCUCUUCAGAGUUGUCAGUUUGUGCAUCAGCAGCAAUGCCAAGAGACUCCCAAAGCUCUGAUAACAGGGACUCGGUGAAAGAGGGGUGCUUGGAUGAACUUUGGCAAGCUGUGGAUACCAAA
This is a long non-coding RNA of Cyprinus carpio carpio, 171 nucleotides long. The record is from Ensembl. Lineage: Eukaryota; Metazoa; Chordata; Actinopteri; Cypriniformes; Cyprinidae.